RNAcentral lists this ribosomal RNA (468 nucleotides) under uncultured bacterium. RNAcentral describes it as "partial 16S ribosomal RNA". It matches the Rfam family "Bacterial small subunit ribosomal RNA", at positions 28 to 507 of the family's 1533-position model. The record is from RNAcentral.
GACGAACGCUGGCGGCGUGCUUAACACAUGCAAGUCGAACGGAAAGGCCCUGCUUUUGUGGGGUGCUCGAGUGGCGAACGGGUGAGUAACACGUGAGUAACCUGCCCUUGACUUUGGGAUAACUUCAGGAAACUGGGGCUAAUACCGGAUAGGAGCUCCUGCUGCCUGGUGGGUGUUGGAAAGUUUCGGCGGUUGGGUAUGGACUCGCGGCUUAUCAGCUUGUUGGUGGGGUAGUGGCUUACCAAGGCUUUGACGGGUAGCCGGCCUGAGAGGGUGACCGGCAACAUUGGGACUGAGAUACGGCCCAGACUCCUACGGGAGGAAGCAGUGGGGAAUAUUGCACAAUGGGCGGAAGCCUGAUGCAGCAACGCCGCGUGCGGGAUGACGGCCUUCGGGUUGUAAACCGCUUUCGCCUGUGACGAAGCGUGAGUGAAGGUAAUGGGUAAAGAAGCACCGGCUAAAUACGUG